ACACGUAGGUAACCUGCCCAUGUGCCCGGGAUAACUUCUGGAAACGGAUGCUAAAACCGGAUAGGUAGCAGACAAGCAUUUGACUGCUAUUAAAGUGGCUAAGGCCAUGAACAUGGAUGGACCUGCGGCGCAUUAGCUAGUUGGUGAGGUAACGGCCCACCAAGGCGACGAUGCAUAGCCGGCCUGAGAGGGCGGACGGCCACAUUGGGACUGAGACACGGCCCAAACUCCUACGGGAGCAGCAUG
This 246-nucleotide ribosomal RNA is filed under the name uncultured bacterium. Its description in RNAcentral is "partial 16S ribosomal RNA". It matches the Rfam family "Bacterial small subunit ribosomal RNA", at positions 113 to 353 of the family's 1533-position model. The record is from RNAcentral.